RNAcentral lists this ribosomal RNA (427 nucleotides) under Enterobacter hormaechei. RNAcentral's name for it is "bacterial SSU rRNA". It matches the Rfam family "Bacterial small subunit ribosomal RNA", at positions 30 to 451 of the family's 1533-position model. The record is from RNAcentral. Lineage: Bacteria; Pseudomonadati; Pseudomonadota; Gammaproteobacteria; Enterobacterales; Enterobacteriaceae.
AUUGAACGCUGGCGGCAGGCCUAACACAUGCAAGUCGAACGGUAACAGGAAGCAGCUUGCUGCUUCGCUGACGAGUGGCGGACGGGUGAGUAAUGUCUGGGAAACUGCCUGAUGGAGGGGGAUAACUACUGGAAACGGUAGCUAAUACCGCAUAAUGUCGCAAGACCAAAGAGGGGGACCUUCGGGCCUCUUGCCAUCGGAUGUGCCCAGAUGGGAUUAGCUAGUAGGUGGGGUAACGGCUCACCUAGGCGACGAUCCCUAGCUGGUCUGAGAGGAUGACCAGCCACACUGGAACUGAGACACGGUCCAGACUCCUACGGGAGGCAGCAGUGGGGAAUAUUGCACAAUGGGCGCAAGCCUGAUGCAGCCAUGCCGCGUGUAUGAAGAAGGCCUUCGGGUUGUAAAGUACUUUCAGCGGGGAGGAAGG